UUGAUCUGGAGGUAGUUCUGCU
This 22-nucleotide microRNA is filed under the name Oreochromis niloticus (Nile tilapia). Its description in RNAcentral is "oni-miR-10900b". Lineage: Eukaryota; Metazoa; Chordata; Actinopteri; Cichliformes; Cichlidae. The record is from miRBase by way of RNAcentral.